Molecule: non-coding RNA, 29 nt
Filed under: Rattus norvegicus (Norway rat)
Lineage: Eukaryota; Metazoa; Chordata; Mammalia; Rodentia; Muridae
Source: RNAcentral
UGUGAUAAAGUAGUGGUCAUUGGAGUUUG